GGAAGACAAAAAAAAGAAGAAGGAGAAGAGAGGGGGAUGCCUUCGCACUGGAGAUUGAUUCAGCCAACAUUAUUUGCCUAAGAUAACUCGUCCUCUUUCCGUGGUGACAGUGUGUGUGUAUCCUCAGUGCAGUACGGAGAGAAGGCAGAGAUCCUGCUAAUAUUUAUGCUCACACCAUGCAAGUGAUGGCGGCCCCCUGGAGCUCCCUCUGAAAGCCCGGACACCGGCUUGACAAACUGUAGCUGAGAAGAUACUCUGCUGCUUUUACGUUUGAUGGAAAGGCCAUUACAGUUAACAUACAGUGAAAUCCCAGCUGUGAAACUCAGAGUAUUGAACUCUGUCAUGCUCAAUAUUCAGUACUGACUCAUGAAAUGUUUUCUCUAGAUGUAAUGACUCUCUGAUUGUCUAUUAGUGCAGAAUCAUCUGCAUUAACAUCUACACUGUAAAGAACUGAUGCCAAUGUGUAGCGGAACACAGCAGUGAUUUACUGAAUAAAAAUGGUGCAUUCUGGGACGUACAGUUUAAGCUUCUUGUCAAAGGAGUUAAAAGAACUGUAACUUGCAAAGCAUACUGUGAUGAUAAUCAAGUGACCCGUACCUUUACAGUCUUGAGCAGCCUGUCACUUAAUAUUGAACUGAUAGGGGUGGAGCUUCCCAGCAUUCUUUGCUUUACUGUUUCCUUUAAUUUCCUUAUAUAUGUUUAGUCUACACUUAAUUUCAUUUGUUCUCACUCCAAAGAUACAUUUGAAUGAGUUUCAGAUGUUCCAACCACUAGUUGAUUAUCUACUGGUGGAAAUAUUUCGUCAUUUGCAUAAAUGUUCAAUCACCUGCUCCCAAAGGCUAGCUAGAUAUACUUGUCAUGUCUGCACAGUAUGGCUGGUCAAAACACAAAAAUCUUGGUUUAAACUAGUUUUCUACUUUA
Molecule: long non-coding RNA, 921 nt
Organism: Pygocentrus nattereri (red-bellied piranha)
Lineage: Eukaryota; Metazoa; Chordata; Actinopteri; Characiformes; Serrasalmidae
Exons: 3
Source: RefSeq, a predicted model, not a curated record